CUCCUGUGAAACUCUCGAGUGGGGAUUAUCAUCUGUCCCCACACCACAGGGUUCAGAGCUCGUCCUCCUGGGGAGACUCUCCUUGGGGGAUAACUUGGGGGAAA
Molecule: non-coding RNA, 104 nt
Organism: Ceratotherium simum simum (southern white rhinoceros)
Lineage: Eukaryota; Metazoa; Chordata; Mammalia; Perissodactyla; Rhinocerotidae
Source: RefSeq, a predicted model, not a curated record